CUGAUGAUCAUUCCAAUCUAAGUACUGGGCUACUAAGAUCAGAAAUUUAAUUUUAAAUAUAAUUUAUAUCUACAUGUAUAUGGUCAAAUAAUCUUGGCAUGCAUAUGAAUAUGAUCAUAUCAAAUAUGACAUUCAUCUGAUCUAAUUAGAUCAAUGCAUCAUAUACUUUAUUUUAGAUCUGAAUCUAUAUUUAUACAGCAUAUAAAAUAAAUAAUUCAGAUUUGGAAUCACAUAGAAAUCUAUUCAAAAACACAUAUGAAUGCAUAGAAAAUAAAAUUCUGAUUAAAUUUAUUUUGAUGUUGUGCAAAAUUUUGUUUAAAAUCAUAUCUGAAAAUUUGUCAAAACAGAUUUAAUUCAGAUCUUGAUUAAGUCUAACUUCCAACCUGAGAUACUUCAUAAAAAAAUCUAUUAAAAUAGAUUUAAAAUAGAUCAUAAUCGGGUUGUUACUCUAACAGAAAAUUUUGCAACAAAAAAUUCUAUUAUAACAGAUUUCAAUCAACCAUUGAUUUAGAUCUUAAAAUUUGGUCAAAACUAGAUCAAAAAAAUUCAAAUAAAUAGGUUCAAAUCAGAUUUAAUAUCUACUAUAAAAAUUUGAUUACAUAUCAAAUGUAAAGCUAUCAGAAAAAAAUUAACUAUGCAUCUAUUUUAUCAAACCUUGCUCUGAUACUAGUUGAAGAAAAAAAUCCAAUC
Molecule: long non-coding RNA, 690 nt
Filed under: Elaeis guineensis (African oil palm)
Lineage: Eukaryota; Viridiplantae; Streptophyta; Magnoliopsida; Arecales; Arecaceae
Description: long non-coding RNA (EGUI_LNC047047)
Source: RNAcentral